This 406-nucleotide long non-coding RNA is filed under the name Phoenix dactylifera (date palm). RNAcentral describes it as "long non-coding RNA (PDAC_LNC006957)". The record is from RNAcentral. Lineage: Eukaryota; Viridiplantae; Streptophyta; Magnoliopsida; Arecales; Arecaceae.
AAUCCAAAUCUCUUCUUUUUUAAUAUAAAAUUCCAAGAAAAUACAGCAUUGAUUUCUAAUAUCGAAAAAAAAGAACUAAAAAUCACAAGAGCAUGAAAUCCAAACCAUAUCUCUUGAAUUCGUAAAUAGAAUUAACAAAAAAAAUGAAAAAAAGCAUAGGUAUCAAAUCGAAACUAUAAUAAUAGAAUGAGUGAAGAGCUAUACCAGGAUGGAAAGGGACCUCCGGCCAACCAGUGAUCUCCACGGCCACGAGCCCACAACUCCAGCCAGCUGAAAUUAAUCACUCCAUCAGCCAAGAAAAGUCCCAAAUAUAAAGAAACCAAACAAAUCGAAUCAAAAGACUCCAAGAAAUGAAACCAAAAUUGCCAUCAAAAGUAUCAGAUAAAACUUACCUGAUAGAAAUCCC